ACAGUUUGAGAUUGCUUGAUCGCUAUGCCACCCUGAGUAAAUGAGGAAUCUGAUGAUGGCAUGUUUGUUGAUAUACCUACACCUCUUGUUUGGCUCUAUGAUUGCUUAGAAUAGGUUGCAAAACCUAGACCGGCUAAUGAACUUAAAACUGGAGCUAAAACUGGAAAAUAAGGUUUUACUUAGUGCUUUGGCAAACAAACCCCUCAGCCAAAAGCCUUGCAUGUCUAGAAGUGUGGAGUAGCUUACUCCUAUCGGUUAAGUCUUGUUGAGCUUAGUAGCUCAGCCUUGUUGUGGCUCCUGUUUUUCAGGUGAAGUUGCUGCUCCCAACCCCUCUCUUGCUGGCGCUUGGCCGCCCCAGCUCCCGCCGGGCUGGACGGUCGAGUGGGACCCCUCCUCGAACGGCGAGGAGAGGAACCUGUGACGUCCCGGUUGGCCUCACCAGGGAUGUCCGACCCCGACGAUUUCUUCCGCUAGUGGUUUUAUCUUUUGCUGUUUUCCUUGGAACCCUGUAAAACUCUGAUGUUGGAUUUUAUGGCCGAGCUAAAUGGGUAAACUUGUUUAACUCAGUGGACUCGUUGUAUUCUCUGGAACCACUCACCUUCGUGUGGGUUUGCUAGACUCGAUCCUGUUCAAGUGGUUAAAUCGGAUGAAAUCCGACGGCAUUUCGUGUUAACUUGGUUUAGGCAGGAGUGUCGCAUGUUAAGCGGCUUAACCCUGCUUAAUCAAGCUAAUCUAAAGUGGAUCCGCCACAGCUGGUAUCAGAGUCGUGUUUAGCAUUUCAGAGAACACAACAAGCCCUAAACACUUCUUUGAAAAGAUAAAAGUUGCAAGAAACUUUUGAAAAAUCUCGUACGAUCGUUAAGGAUGGCUUUAGUGCGAGAGGCCCUAGGGGAUUUUGGGGUUGUUUUAGGUGACUAAUAAUUACUUGGUUAUUUUGCUAAUCCCUCCAGCACUUCGCCAUGUUUGUCAUACGUGUGCCGAGUUCCGCAUCACGAGCAUGCGAAGGUUGAUAGGGAGUUCUAUUCAAAGGACCCUAUCCUCGUGGUUGUUUUCGCCCACGUCUAUCACACGUGCGCAGGUUCCGUAUGAACUCCAUACGAAGGUUGGUACGGUUUGAUUCCAACGAACCUAUCAGCACGGUUGGUUCGCCACGUUUGUCAUACGUGUGCCGAUUCCGCAUCACGAGUAUGCGAAGGGUUAUAUGGUUCCAUUCAAAGGGAACCUAUUUCCACGGUUGAGUGCUGUCCAUGCAGCCUUAAACGCAUGGGUGUCGUUCCUAUAGUGAGCGGUAAUGUUUGGGAACGCUUUCGUGGGUGCUGGCACGAAAGGUUCGUGUGUUGGUGUUUUUUCUGCAGGUACGCUAACCGCGUUCGUUUAGGAGAUGUUGUAGAAUCGACUAGUUACUAUAGGGAGAGACGUAAUUGUUGCCUUGUCACCAGCACUGACCGCGUAAGACCCGAGUUCGGGCAGUUGUUUUUGGUUAUGUGUAAGGUAGGCCGUGCAUGCGUCAUAAUUAAAAAGCUGUAAGGUUUCCUUCUCAACAGCAAUCUCGUUCAGAAGAGUUCUUUUGGAUCUAAGGAUUUCUAGUUUCUUUUAGUUGCUCUCGGUCAAAACCGUAUGCUUCUUUGUCCGACCCCUGAUCCUUGGAGUCUAUCUCACGUGGUUUCGGUUUCUUGGUUCCAGAUGGCUGUUCCCGGGCAUGUUCUUUUUGGAGCGGACGGUACUUUCCAAUCGACGUGUCUACAUUUCGAGGGAUUUCCUGCGAUUCUGUGGGAUACGUUGAAGUGGUUUGGGUACCAGUCCCCGCCCUUGUACGCCGGACGGUUAUAUCUGGAGCAGGGUAUCCAGACGUGCCAAGUGCAGGCGGUGGUACCUCCUCCCCCUGCUCGGCUUGACUGGCCCUCUUUCGGCAUUAUAGCCUAUGGCCUCGCUCCUGAGGAUACAUGGGAUUCUGCCGCCCUUCAGCUUCUCACCCAGUUCUGUCAGUUGCACCCCUUGGAGAUCACGCUCGACCCGAUCGGCCUUUUUCCCGUCAGGAACCGGCUGGACCCGGCAUGGCUUGACCGCGUCGGGAACAUUGAAGUGCUAGCCACCACAUGCGCCAUGGUCACCAUCUCCACCAAUAUAAGGUGCAUGGCGGCUCUUUACCGGCUGAUAGAGCUUCAGGGAAGAGCCAUGACCCUCUUCGCCCGGACAGCAGCAGAUGUUCAGAGGUACCUCCAAGCGACACGAAGAGAUAUGGUAGGCCAAACCUACCAGCUUAUUCAACGGGGUAUCCAGAUUCACGACAUGCAAGACCAGAUCUCCGAGCUUGAGGGAGAAGUCGCCGACCUAGUGGACGGCAUGAUAGAGCUAUUGGAGGAGAAGAUGGAGAUGGAAAUGGAGUUAGCAGUUGCCAAUGCCUAUCUAGAGGAGCAUCAAGCUGAGCUCGAUGAUAUGCAUGCCCUCAACAUGCAGCUCGAAGCUCAGGAGGACCCUGAGGAAGAUGAAGGAGCGUCCAGCAUGGAUAUCGAGGAAGAUGGCGCCCCUUCUCCUACUCAUAGUGUCCAUUGGUAGAUUGCGGGUUCUCAGGGGAUCAUUCUUUUGUUGUACUCCUCGGCAGCGUAAAUUUUGGAAAGGUUGUAAUAGGUUAGCCUAGAGUCGAGUACUCCCUGUGAUUGGAACAUCGUUGUAUAUAAAGUUAAUUCUGGUGCCUGGCUUUUUUUUCAUCUUUGUAUGGUGUGGAUGCUAGGCUAAGUAAGUUGUGCCAUGACCAUAUGCUGUUUUCGGGAACCUGUUCUGUUGGCCGACCCUAGUUGGUGAGACCGAGUGCGCCGACCCUUGAGGCAGUUUCCGCCCCGUCUGACCUUUUUAAGUAGGGAUCAUUGCCGACCCCUUUUUCUCGGGAGGAUCGCCUAGCCCAACCCCUUGGCUUGAGUUGGAUCAUAGGAGUCUGUAUAUGACCUGUUUUGCCUGAAGUUGAGUACCAGGUCAAAAUAAAUGUUAUCUACUCUGAGAAUGAGAAAAGUGUGUUUUCCCUAUGAGGACGUGUGUUGCACCAUUGGCAAGAGUCGCAUUGAAGGAAUUAAUUUAUACGUUCCAUUUGUUGGAGUACACCUAAGGUUAUGAAAUUGAUGGAGCAUUAACUCUUGCAGAUGGCGCACCGCACCAGGUCUGGUUCUGUGCCCGGCAGUAGCGAUCAGCGACAGGAUCUUCCCCCGCCCCCGCCCUCAUCGCCACUGGAGGCAAUCCUAGCAACUCAAACUGAGCUGCUAAGGCAUCUGGUACAAGGGCAACAGCAACAGCCACAUGGUGGAAGAGCCCAGCAGCAGCCGCAUAUCGCUCGGUAUGAGGACUUUCUGGGGACACAACCCCCUUUGUUCCAAAAGACACAAGAACCGCUCGAUGCUGACGCCUGGGUUCGUACGAUCGAAUCCAAGUUUGAGCUUCUCACUGCUCCAUGCCCCGACAACAACAAGGCUCGGUUUGCAGCCCAACAGCUGCAUGGCUCCGCACGGCUUUGGUGGGAUCACUACCAUGCCAUGCUACCGGCUGGCCAUGUAGUCAGUUGGAAUGAGUUCAAGACGGCGUUCAAGGCGCAUCACAUUCCAGAAGGUCUCUUGGAGCGCAAGCUCAACGAGUUUCUGGCCCUUACCCAAGGAACCCGAGAUGUGCUGCAUUACGCUCAAGCUUUCAACGACCUGUGCUGUUAUGCCGGCUACCAUGCGGACACGGACGAGAAGAAGCGGGACAGAUUCCACCAAGGACUGAGCUUGGAGCUCAGGGAAAGGUUGAACCCCAUCAAGGUGGACACCUACAAUGAGUUGGUCAACCUGGCCAUCUCUCAAGAAGACUGCAUGCAAGCUCUCAAGGCCGACCAGAAGAGGAAAGCCUCUGUGGCAUUUCCGAGUCAGCCGACUCGAAGGUUCCGGAUGGUUCCUCCACAAGCCCCUGGCCGACCCCAGCAGUCAGGAAGGUGGAUUGCUCGACCCCCGCCAGUAACAGCGCCUCGUUUUCCAGGCUUCCAACCGCAGGUGCCCCGGCCGACCCUACCAACACCACCCCGCCCGGCAGCCAGUAACCGUUGUUUUCCUGCGGCAAUGAAGGGCACUUUGCAAAGGACUGCCCCAGGAACAAGAAUCAACAGCAAGGUCAGAACCCCAUGGCAACCAGAGGAAGAAGGCCCAAGGUGCAAGUCCGACAAGGCCGACUCAACUACACCAGCUUGACCGAGCUCCCCGAAGGUGCGCCAGUAAUGACGGGUACUUUCCUCGUUUUAAAUCAAGAUGUUGUUGUGUUGUUUGAUUCGGGAGCCUCUCAUAGCUUUAUCGGGAGUAAGGCUAGGGAAAGAUGUGAGCUGGAUCUCGGUCACACUAAGGAACCUUAUGUGAUCGCCACUCCUGGAGGGAGGAUAACAUCGGAUCAGAUUGUUAUUCUUGUACCUCUCCAGCUAGGCCCCACCCUCUUCAAGGAAAACCUUAUCAUCCUUGACCUAGAAGGCAUAGAUGUCAUCCUUGGUAUGGAGUGGAUGGCCCGACAUCAUGUGGUUCUAGAUACAUCAGCCCGAUCCCUCUGCAUCAGUUCACCCUCCCAUGGCAGUUCUACCAUAUCCUUGACCCAUCCUGAGUCUGCGCUUUCUUGUGCCUACCCCCUAUCGGGAGCCCGUCUAAAAGACCUCCCUGUUAUCUGUGAGUACCCUGACGUGUUUCCGGAGGAUUUGCCAGGUAUGCCACCUGAUAGAGAAGUGGAGUUUUCCAUAGAGUUGAUUCCUAGCACAGCCCCUAUAUCUAAGAGACCCUAUCGGAUGCCACCCGCUGAGUUAGCCGAGUUGAAGACCCAGUUGCAUGAUCUGUUGGAAAAAGGCUUCAUCCGACCCAGUACAUCAUCUUGGGGUUGCCCUGCCCUGUUUGUGAAGAAGAAGGAUGGCAGUCUACGUAUGUGUGUGGAUUACCGACCCCUCAAUGCUGUGACCAUCAAGAACAAGUAUCCACUGCCACGCAUUGAUGUCUUGUUUGAUCAGUUAGCUAGAGCAAAAGUGUUCUCCAAGAUCGAUCUUCGUUCUGGUUAUCACCAAAUCGAGAUCCGACCCUGCGACAUACCCAAAGCAGCUUUCUCUACCAGAUAUGGACUGUACGAGUACCUAGUCAUGUCCUUUGGACUCACCAAUGCACCCGCUUAUUUCAUGUACCUCAUGAACUCGGUAUUCAUGCCCGAGCUGGACAAGUUUGUAGUGGUGUUCAUUGAUGAUAUUCUAGUGUACUCGAAGAACGAAGAAGAGCAUGCCGACCAUCUUCAUAUAGUUCUCCAACGGCUAAGAGAUCACCAACUCUAUGCCAAGUUCUCCACAAGUGUGAGUUCUGGUUGGAUAGUGUCAAGUUUUUGGGACACACUAUCUCUAAGGAUGGUAUUGCCGUUGACCCCAGUAAGGUGCAGGAAGUCAUGGAAUGGAAGCCAUCUGCCUCAAUGCACCAGAUCAGAAGUUUCCUUGGACUGGCUGGCUACUAUCGGCGUUUCAUACCGGAUUUCUCUAAGAUAGCUAAGCCGAUGACCGAGUUGUUGAAGAAAGAGGUCAAAUUUGUGUGGGAUAACAAGUGUGAAGAAGACCCCUGCAGUUCGACCUUGGUGAUCAUGUGUACCUUCGAGUCUCCCCGACCAAAGGAGUACAACGGUUUGGAGUCAAAGGCAAGUUAGCUCCCCGUUAUGUUGGCCCUUAUGAGAUUGUGGAGAUAUGUGGACCCGUUGCUUACCAGAUCCAACUCCCACAACAGUUAUCGGCCAUACACGAUGUUUUCCACGUAUCUCAACUGAAGAAAUGUGUCCGAGUUCCAGCAGAGAUCUUAGAGCAAGAACAGCUUCAGGUAGAGCCCGACCUGACCUACGCCGAGUACCCAGAUCGAGUUCUUGACCAGAAGGAAAGGCACACCCGACGCCAAGUGGUAAAGAUGUACAAGAUCCUCUGGAGAAACCACACCAAAGAUGAAGCAACAUGGGAAACGGACGAAUAUCUGAACAAGCGCUUUCCAAGUUUUCUAUCUCAUCUAGGAGGUAAAAACGUCACCCGCUUUUGAUGCCUAAAUCUCGGAACGAGAUUCUUUUUAAGAGGGGUAGGCUGUGACGACUGACCCCUAAACCUUCCAAGUUAAUCUCAAUUGGAGCCCUUGAUCAUAGUCAUCUGUCUUGUUUUACCGCGCCGAGUGCUCAGCUUUCCGCCCGGUUCCGACCCCGGAAGACCCGACCCCUUCCCGUUUCGCUCCUCUCUCGACCCCGGCGAGCUCAGCCCACCGUCGGAUCCUUCUAAAUCUUCCUCAACGUCCGUUCUAUCCGCCCGGUGGACCCGCGAGAUCUUUUUCCCCAGAUCCUCCGCGACAGGCGCACUCGAGUUGCAUGCCCGCUUCAGAGUCUCCCUACCGCGUGGCUCGUCUUCUCCGACGCCCGCUGCGCAGUUUUGUCUCUGGCUCGCGACCAAGUGGGUUCUCGCGCCCCCUUCCUUAAUGGCAGCGGAAGCCCCUCUGCACCCUUUCUGCAGAACCUCACCUCCCGCGCCCAUCAUCACGCCGCCAGAUCCCGGCCCCAGAGCCCGAUGUCACCCGUCUUUUCCGUCACUUCAAAUCUUCCGCACGGCGACGCCCGCUUUCCGCCAAAUCUCAACCACCGGUCUACCCGCUCCUACGCCGCCCUGACGGCAGAGCCCAAUGACUGCUGGCGUCACCCCCGGAGUCCUGCACCACCGCCCUCUUCGCUCAAUCGCCGCCCCGGCAGAGCACUCCAUUGCUUCUCCCCGGCCUUCACGCCGCUCCCCUUCUCUCUCUCCCGCGCCGCUUCCUUCUCAGUUCCAGCGGCUAUAAAAGGAAUGCGCCAGCCGCCGGAGUUCCCUCCGCCAUUGUUGCCUUAGCCAUUCUCUCGCUCCCUGCUCAAGCUCCUAGCGCCACCCACCAAGUUCUUGAGGAGUUCUGCUCUCAGAUUCUCUCUCAGUUUUCUCCAAGUCACCCAGCCGCUUGCUCCUCCUUGCUGCGUAAAAGCUCUCUUGUGAUCUGCAAGAAGCACCGCCGCCGCCGUAGCAUUCCCAGUCUUAGCCGUUGUUCAAGCUUUAGUUUCCCCGCCCAAGUCUGCUUCUUCCCGACCCCAAGCUUUCCUUUCAGGAAGAAGGUGAGUUGCCGACCCCAGUCCGCUUCGCCCGACCCCUCCUAUCCGCCCGACCCCGGUUCCGUCUCGCCCGACCCUGUCUGUUCCGCCGACCUUUAUCCGCCUCGCCCGAGGGUUCGGCUGUGAUCUUUUUCUUCAACCCGAGGGUGUAUGUGUAAAACUUAGGAACCCUCCAGCGCUUGCGUACGAGGACCCCUAGUACAUGACAUUCUCUAGUUCAAGGAUCAGAUCAUAAGUUCCUUUCCGACCCUUGCCUCUUGAUCAUCACCAGCUCUCUUGAACCUCCAUACCCUCCUGCUCUUUGUCGCGAGUUUCUGGGCUCACGUGAGCUAGUGUUGCUGUUGAAAUAACCGUCUAUGCUAACUUUGCAUUGCAUUCGUGUAGAGCUGCACCUCGCCGACGGCUUCCACGAGCUGCACCCAGCACCAAAAGGAGAAGGUGUAGCCGAGCUCCUGCCCGCCGAAGCCGAAGUCGCCCCAGAAGUCGAGCAGUUUCCUUCCUCUUUGCUCGAAGGCAAGCCCCGGUUGCAUGAAAACCCAUGUGUUUUAUCAGACUUGCGCAUGCCUUCUGUAACAUGCUUGUGCAUUUACGUAUAGGAGUUGUUUGAAACUCCUAGAUGCAUGACCUAGUUAUCCCCAUGAUCUGAGCACUAGCUGUUGGACCGAGUAGUUGCCCUGCUUAACUAGGAGACGGUAAAAGUCGAGUGAUCUCCUGUCACUCGCGAGUUGUAGGAGUUGUAUGUUUACUCUCCUGUUAUAACUAUAAGGACGAUGGACGGGGCAGGGUUUUGGUAACUCUUUGGUGGACGGAUGGUUGCCCCGUCUGUCUAUGAAAACUUGCUAAGGCCCGACAGUGGUGGUGUUCGUGAUCAAGUGUUUGAAAGUACUAGCCUGAUACUUAGUAUGGGAUGAGGAAGCCUAGUACCGGAUUGAACCUAGACGUGAGCGGUCACCCCAUUGUUCUUGGAACGGAGUUUCCCCUGCUAGUUGUCGCACGUGGUGGCAAGCGUGGUCACAGGACGGCAGAGGCCGGGUCUGUGGAACCUUGCACCAAAGGAAAUGGGCCCGACACGGGUUAGGGGAUUGAUGGGGAAGGCCGACACAGGAAGCGACCUCCGGGUGCGCGGAUGUCGUGAGGCUAGGUUCACCAUGCAUGGUUAAAGAACUCGAAUCGAUUCGUCUGCCUCUCACAGUUUGAGAUUGCUUGAUCGCUAUGUCACCCUUCACAUAAUUGCAAAUCAAUUCAAGUAGCCUUUAAUGGAUAUUCAAUGAACACAAUAUAUAAAUCAUGGAUACAAAUGGAAUAUCAUCAUCUCUAUGAUUGCCUCUAGGGCAUACCUCCAACACAUCUAUGGUUUCAAACAACUCCUAUACGUAAAUGCACAAGCAUGCUUAAAGAAGGCAUGCGCAAGUUUGGUAAAACACAGGGGAUUUAUGCAUCCGGGGCUUGCCUUCGAACAAGGAGGAGCGAAGCUGCUCUUCUGCUUGGGCGGCUUCGGCUUCUAGAGGCAGGAGCUCGGCUACACCUUCGUCUUCUGGUGUCGGGUGCAGCUCGUAGAAGCCGUCGGCGAGACGCAGCUCUACACGAAUGCAAUGCAUUGGUUAGCAUUUAGAUGGUUAUUUCAAUAGCAACACUUGCAAGUUUGAGCCCAGAAACUUGCAGCAAGUUACCGGAGGGUGGGGAGGUUUGCUUGAGUUGGUGGAAAUGAAGAUAUAAGGGUCGGAUGGGAAGGAACUGAUGAUCUAACCCUUAAUCUAGAGGAAUAGAUGUGCUAGGGGUCCUCAGACUUAACGCUGAAAAGUCCCCAAGUUUUACACAUACACCCUCAGUUCAAAGAAAAAGAUAUAGCUGAGCCCUCGGGCGAGGCGGAGAAAGGUCGGCGGAACAGACAGGGUCGGGCGAGAUGGAAUCAGGGUUGGGCGGAUAGGAGGGGUCGGACGAGGCGAACAAGGGUCGGUAGCUUACCUUCAUCUUACAGAUGAGGCUUGGUGUCGGGAAAGAACAGGCUUGGGCAGAAAGACUAAGGCUUGGGACCACGGCGAGGAUGUCCGGUGGUACUCCAGCGGCGGCGGUGCUUCUUGUGGACCACAAGCAACCUCUUGUGCAGCACGGGGAGCAGUGGCUGGUGGAUUAGGGAAGGUGGUGUUUGAGUGGAGAGGAGAGUUCCUCAGACUUAGGCGGUGGCGCUGUGAGCACAAACAGGGAGCAAGCGGGAGGGCAGCGAUGGCGAAGGGGAACUCCGGCGGGGCUCCAGCAUUCCCUUUUAUAGCUGCACGGAAGAGAGAAGGGGGAGCGGCGCAAGGACCGGGGAAGAAACGAGGGAGUGCGCUGCCGGGGCGGCGAUUGAGCGACGAGGGCGGUGGAGCAGGACUUCGGGGAUGACACCGGCGGUCAUUGGGCACCGAUGAAAGGGCGGCGCAGGCGCGGGUUUGCCGGUGGUUGAGACUUGGCGGAGGCGGGCGUCGUUGUGCGGUGGAUCUGAUGGAAGUGACCGGGGAAAUGGCGCUAGAAACGAGGGCGCACAGGUGAGAAGACAGGCAGCUGCGGUCGCGCGGGCGAGCGCGGAGCAACAGAUUAUCAGGGCGGAGCUUCUGACAAGGCAGAAAAGGAGCUGUCGCUGCCGUGGUCUGGGUUGGUGGAGGAGGAAUCAUCUCGUAGCGAGGACCGGGGCGGCGCGACUGUGGAGGGGCGACAGAAAAGACGGGUGGCAUCGGGCUCUGCAGCCAGGAUCUGGUGAUGUGAUGAUGGGCGCGGGCGGCGAGGUGCUACAAAAAGGGUAGCAGAGGAGCUUCCGCUGCGAUUGCGGAAGGGGGCGCAAGAAUCCAUCCGGUCGUGGCCGGCGACAAGGCGAAGUGGCGGGCGUCGGAGGAGUUGAGCCACGCGGCUAGGGAACUCUGAAGCGGGCAUGCAACUCGAGUGCGCCUGUCGUGGGAGAUCUGGGAGAAAAGAUCUCGUGGGUCCACCGGUCAGUCUCGGUGGUCCACGGCUCAGAUUGAAGGGAGGCGUUGUGGGAGGACUUAGAAAGAUCCGGCGGUGGGUUGGGGUCGGUGGGGUCGGAACUGGGGAAAACACGAUGAGGGGUCAGAUCACAGGGGUCGAGACCGAACUGGAGGUUGAACACUUAGACUUGGUAAACUGAGACAGGGGAUCAGGGACUCGGAUUAAGAUUAACGCGAAGGAUUUUAACCGAGGUCGUUACAGCCUACCCCCCUUAAGAAGAUGUGGCGGAUCCACUUCGGAUUUACUUGGUUAAACAUAAUUAGGCCGCAUGAUACGCGACGCUCAUGCCUAAACCGAGUAAACACGAAGUGCCGUCGGAUUUCAUCCGAUUUAACCACUUGAACGGGACCAAUUAGCAGACCCACACAAAGGUGAGCGGUUCCAGAGAAUACAACAAGUCCACCGAGUUAACAAAUUAAACUAUUUAGUUUGACCAUAAAACAACAUCAGAGUUUACAAGGUUCCGAAGAAAAACAACAGAAGGUAAAACAACUAGCGGAAGCUAACUCGUCGGGGUCGGACAUCCCUGGUGAGGCCCACCAGGACAUCAGUGAUCCCUCUCCUCGCCGUCCGAGGAGGGAUCCCACUCAACCGUCCAACCCGGAGGGAGUUGGGGCGGCCAAGUACCAGCAGAGGGAGGCUCAGAGGCCGCAACUUCACCUGAAAAAGAAGAGCCACAACAAGGCUGAGCUACUAAGCUCAACAAGACUUAACCGACAGGGAGCGCGCUAAACUACCUCUUUUAGACAUGCAAGGCUUUUUGGCUGAGGGGUUUGUUUUGCCAAAAGCGCUAGGCAUAUCCCUACUUUCAAGUUUCAGCUCAAGUUCUAAGUUCAUUAUCCAGUCUAAGUUAGCAACUUGUUCUAAGCAAACAUAGAACCAACCAAAGGGUGUAAAUAGCAUCAAUAGAACCAUGUCAUCAUCAGAUUCCUUAUUUACUCAGGGUGACAUAGCGAUCAAGCAGUCUCAAACUGUGAGAGGCAGACGAAUCGAUUCGAAUUUCUUAACCAUGCAUGGCGAACCUAAUCUCACGACAUCCGCGCACCACAAGGGCCGCUUCCUGUGUCGGCCGUCCCCAUCAAUUCCCAGGCGCGUGUCAAGUCCAAACUUUCCUUGGCAUGCAAUGCUCCACAGUCCCGGCCCCUACCGUACUGUGACCGCACUUGCACCCACAUGAUGCACCAUAGGAACCUCGUUCCAGGGACAGCAGGGGUAUAAGCCAUGCCCUAGUUCAAUCAGGUACUAGGCUUCCCCAUCCCAUACUAGGUAUGAGAUUAGUACUUUCAAACACUUGAUCAUGAACACCACCACUGUCGGGCCUUAGCAAGUUUUACAGACAGACAGGGCGAUCAACCGACCACCAAAGAGUUACCCAAAACCCUACCCCGUCCAUCGUCCUUAUAGUUGUAAUAGAAGAGGAAAAAACCAACUCCUAUAGCUCGCGAGUGACAGGACAUCACUCGGCUUUUACCGUUUCCUAUUUAAGCAAAGCAUCUACUCGGUCCAACAGCUAGUGUUCAGAUCAAAGGAAAACUAAGUCAUGCAUCUACGGUUCCAAACAACUCCUAUACAUAAAUGCACAAGCAUGUUCAAGAAGGCAUGUGCAAGUCUGGUAAAACAUAGGGGAUUCAUGCAUCCGGGGCUUGCCUUUAAGCAAGGAGGAGGGAAACUGCUCGUCUGCUUGGGCAGCUUCGGCUUCUGGAGGCAGGAGCUCGGCUACACCUUCUUCUUCUGGCGCCGGGUGCAUCUCGUAGUAGCCAUCGGCAAGACGCAGCUCUACAUGAAUGCAAUGCAUUGGUUAGUAUUUAGACGGUUAUUUCAAUAGCAACACUUGCAAGUUUGAGCCCAGAAACUUGCGGCAAGUUACAGGAGGGUGGGGAGGUUCAAUGGGGUCGAUGGAGAUCAAGGUAUAAGGGUCGGAUGGGGAGGAACUUAUGAUCAGACCCUUAAACUAGAGGAAUAGAUGUGCUAGGGGUCCUCAGACUUAACACUGAAAAGUCCCCAAGUUUUACACAUAUACCCUCGGUUCAAGGAAAAAGAUACAGCCGAGCCUUCGGGCGAGGUGGAGAAGGGUCGGCGGAACAGACAGGGUCGGGCGAGACGGAACCGGGGUCGGGCGGAUAGGAGGGGUCGGACGAGGCGAACAAGGGUCGGCAGCUUACCUUCGUCUUAUAGAGAAGGCUUGGGCAGAAGGACUAAGGUGAUGAGGACAUCAACACCAACGAUACAUCCACACCUACACAAGUACCAGUUUCUGGUCCGAUAACUCGCGCCCGUGCUCGUCAACUUAAUCAUCAAGUAAGUUCACUCUUGAGUUCCUGUCCAUCCUAUUUAGACCAUGGAGACGCGUGCACUCUUGUUUUGGUUAGGAAUCAUGGAGAAGACCGAGAGGGAAACGGACUCGCGCAGGCUGGAUUCGGACUCCAGGACAGUACCAACUUGUAAUGGUCACCACGGUCGCAUACGGACACGGAUUGGGGCGUUCAAGUACUUCACGGAUUUGUUAUGAAGUCUAUUUUCAUAUGGAUCUGGACUCAAGUCUAUAUCUGGUCCUAGGCGGUCGCAAUGACCAAUUUACUACCGAUCGGUUUUCUGGUGCUGCGUCACCUUAUUUUGGCCCAAUGGGCCGUGUAUCAAGUUGGGUCCAUUAGGGACAUGUCCUAGGGUUGGAGCACGACCCCAACACCCUCCUGGUCGUCCUCCUAGGCAUUAAUAAGGAUUAGAGCCACCACAAACAGAUUGGGUUUUGUUUAGAUCAAGUUUAGCUCUCGCUACUUGCCUGUAAGCGCGCGUGCUGGAUCAGCCGCCCGUCUUGCUGUCUUCGGAACCCCACCUUAUUGAGAUUGAGUUGGAAACCUUCAUCUUCAUCUAGUAAAUUCAGUACUUGUUAUACUUGUUCUUGCUAGUUCUUCGAUUGCUUGCAGGACGAGUGCCCUAGUGGCCGGGUGACGCGCUCCACAAGAUCGCGACAGCCAUUGGAGGUGGUGUAUCGGUUGCUAAGGCGCAGCUUGGAAGGCUGUAGUCGGGCCGUGAACGUCAUCUCCAUCCACCAAUCGAGUUAUCCACGCCUCUCUCAUCGAAAGAUCGGGAAUCAACCCUAGCGGGUUCAUAUCAGUUGGUAAUCAGAGCAAGGUUUAUCGGUGAGAGACUUCUAGUUCUUUGCUGUUUUUAAUUUCCUAUAGUCUAGAAAAGGCCAAAAAAAAUUAGUAGCUUAGUUCUCCAUAAUCCCAAAAAACCCUUUGAGCCUUUUACUAUUACUGCUUAGUUAGGGCUUAUUGAAUUAACAGUUGCAUCGUCGUGUCAAGUUGCUGGUCUUAGCGUCUAGUCGUUUAGAGUUUCGAGUUCUUGUCACGUUUGUGUCACUAUCGCAGAUUCGAGUUUAUUUGUUUCUCUCCACAAAUCAGAUUGGAUUUUCCAAAUUCCUUUAUUUUGUUUACCACUAUUAACCAAAUCACAUCCUUGGAGCUUUCAUCCACGUCCAUACUUCCAUCUCCAAAAAAGAAAAUCCCACAAGUUCAAAUCAGAAUUCGUUUCGGAGUCCUGUUUCACCUUGAGAAGAAAAGCACCAUAUUUCCUUUGUUAGGAGUCCGAAUAAGGAGUUUGAAUACAAUCUGGAAACCUGAACUUAUCCUCUUUCCAACGGAUCUGUCCUUGGUCCCAAAUUCUUUUUGAGCACUUCGGAAUCACCCUGGAGAUUUGCAUAUCUGCUGGAUUUGCAAAACAGCCACUUGUUUGACUUUGCUACUGAAUCACCCUUUCCAAGGAAAUAUUUAAUUUUUGUAAGUAGCUUGUUAUCUCUUGUUGCAAAAUUUGAGCUCUGUGCUACUUGGAAAAAAAAGAAAAGAAAAAAAACAGAAACAAAGAAAGAAAGAAAAAAAAAACAGAAAGAAAGAAAGAAAGAAAGAAAGAAGAGAAGGGUUUUUCUUUUGUUGUUUUUCCUCUCCUUGUGAUCCUUCCUUGCUGCAGCUUAGUGACUUCGUUUGUGUCCAGGCUCGCAUCUCUAGCACGUACUAGCCUAGGACCAGCACAAUAACGUCGUUGAGCGUUUGUUCAAUUUGCUUGCAACUAACGUGGUUCUAGUACUUCCUUGCUUCAGCCCACCUAUAGCUCCAUAUAUUUCGACUACAGCUUGACAGGUCCUGUUGUUGCGGCACCGAUAUACUUCAUUCCACGGUUGCAAACUUGUUGGUAGCCGUCCCUCCUGUUGAGCAAGGUAAGAAUUGGUAAGAGCUUGUGUAACGGGUUGAGAGUGAGCGCCUUGCAGUAGCUACAUCCUAAUAGCUGUAGGGUUUUUAUUUCUUCACCUGUUUUCUUGUUGCCUUUGUUUGUCUAACCAUGACAGGAUCAGAGGAUAGUCAAAAUAUGCCACAUUCUCCCCGCACCAAGGGCAUCAUACAACAUUUUGAAAAGCUAGUGAAGGGGCACGUCGAGGGGCUCGAUGAUGAUUUGCAGGUGACGAAUGAGAAGAUUGGGCAGUUGGAGGCCACGCAGCUUGCCACCAACACCAAGCUUACAGGGCUGGAGACGUCAGUCGCUCGUAUUGACAAAAGCCUUGCUGCUAUUUUGAGGCGCUUUGAUGAGAUGCACGCCAAAAACACUAAUGGACAUGAUGGAGAUAACAACACGGAUGAGCGUGUCGAGGACAAUUGGGAUGCUGAUACUGAACAAGAUGACCCAGAUGCUCAUGAUCGCCGACGACUACGCAAUAAUCGCAGAGGUAUGGGUGGUUAUCGACGACGCGAGGUACAUAAUAAUGAUGAUGCUUUCAGUAAGAUAAAAUUUAAGAUACCUCCUUUUGAUGGUAAAUAUGAUCCUGAUGCGUAUAUUACUUGGGAAAUUGUUGUUGAUCAAAAGUUUGCAUGUCAUGAGUUUCCUGAAAAUACACGUGUUAGGGCUGCUACUAGUGAGUUCACUGAUUUUGCUUCUGUUUGGUGGAUAGAACAUGGCAAGAAAAAUCCUAAUAACAUGCCACAAACAUGGGAUGCUUUGAAACGGGUCAUGCGAGCUAGAUUUGUUCCUUCUUACUAUGCACGUGAUCUUUUAAAUAGGUUGCAACAAUUGAGACAGGGUGCUAAAAGUGUAGAAGAAUAUUAUCAGGAGUUACAAAUGGGUAUGCUGCGUUGUAACUUAGAGGAGGGUGAGGAACCUGCUAUGGCUAGAUUUUUGGGUGGUUUAAACCGUGAAAUUCAGGACAUCCUUGCUUAUAAAGAUUAUACUAACGUAACCCGUUUGUUUCAUCUUGCUUGUAAAGCUGAAAGGGAAGUGCAGGGGCAACGUGCUAGUACCAAGACUAAUAUUUCUGCAGGAAAAUCUACAUCAUGGCAGCCGUGUACGACUACUUCUUUGACCGGACGUGCACCUCCACCCGCUCACUCUCCGAGUCGGCCGGCACCACCAUCUCUGUCCAGCGACAAGCAACGUGCUCCUCCCACAAAUUCAGCAACCAAGACUGCCCAGAAACCAGCCACUAGUACCACUUCGGUUGCAUCCACGGGUAGAACAAGAGAUGUUCAGUGCCAUCGAUGCAAGGGCUUUGGACACGUGCAGCGUGACUAUCCUAGCAAGCGUGUUUUGGUUGUCAAAGAAGAUGGUGGGUAUUCCUCUGCUAGUGAUUUUGAUGAAGAUACACUUGGUUUGCUUGCUACUGACCAUGCAGGUAGUGAGGAACAACCAGAAGAAGAGAUUGGUGCAGAGGAUGCAGAUCAUUAUGAGAGCCUCAUUGUGCAGCGUGUGCUUAGCGCACAAAUGGAGAAGGCGGAGCAAAAUCAGCGGCAUACACUGUUCCAAACAAAGUGUGUCAUUAAAGAGCGUUCGUGCCGUUUGAUAAUUGAUGGAGGUAGCUGCAACAACUUGGCUAGCAGCGAUAUGGUGGAGAAGCUUGCACUUGCAACCAAACCGCACCCACAUCCAUAUCAUAUUCGAUGGCUCAACAAUAGCGGUAAGGUUAAGGUAACGAGACUGGUGCGAAUUAAUUUUGCUAUUGGAUCAUAUCAUGACGUUGUUGAAUGUGAUGUUGUGCCUAUGGAAGCUUGUCAUAUUCUGCUAGGUAGACCAUGGCAAUUUGAUACGGAUUGUAUGCAUCAUGGUAGAUCAAAUCAGUAUUCUCUCAUACACCAUGAUAAGAAAAUUGUUUUGCUUCCUAUGUCUCCUGAAGCUAUUGUACGUGAUGAUGUUGCUAAAGCUAAGAAAACUAAAACCGAGAGCAAAAAAAAUGUCAAAUCUGUUAGUAGUAAGAAAGAUGAGAUCAGAUUGAAAGGACAUUGCUUGCUUGCUACUAAAUCUGAUAUUAAUGAAUUGGUUGCUUCCACUUCUGUUGCCUAUGCUUUGGUAUGCAAGGAUGCUUUGAUUUCGGUUCACGACAUGCAGCAUUCUUUGCCUCCUGUUGUUGCUAACAUUUUGCAGGAGUAUGCUGAUGUGUUUCCAAGUGAGAUCCCAGCGGGGCUGCCACCGAUACGAGGGAUUGAGCACCAAAUUGAUCUUAUUCCUGGUGCAUCUUUGCCAAACCGUGCGCCAUACAGGACAAAUCCGGAAGAAACGAAAGAAAUUCAGCGACAAGUGCAAGAACUACUCGACAAAGGUUAUGUGCGUGAGUCUCUUAGUCCUUGUGCUGUUCCGGUUAUUUUAGUGCCUAAGAAAGAUGGAACAUGGCAUAUGUGUGUUGAUUGUAGAGCUAUCAAUAAUAUAACCAUUCGAUAUCGACACCCUAUUCCACAAUUGGAUGACAUGCUUGAUGAACUUAGUGGUGCUGUUGUGUUUUCCAAAGUUGAUUUGCGUAGUGGGUACCACCAGAUUCGUAUGAAAUUAGGAGAUGAAUGGAAAACUGCUUUUAAAACUAAAUUUGGUUUAUAUGAGUGGUUAGUCAUGCCUUUUGGGUUAGCUAAUGCACCUAGUACUUUCAUGAGAUUAAUGAACGAGGUUCUUCGUGCUUUCAUUGGAAAAUUUGUUGUGGUCUAUUUUGAUGAUAUAUUGAUUUAUAGCAAAUCUAUGGAUGACCACCUUGAUCACUUACGUGCUGUUUUUAAUGCUUUACGAGAUGCGCGUUUAUUUGGUAACCUUGAGAAGUGCACCUUUUGCACCGAUCGAGUGUCUUUUCUUGGUUAUGUUGUGACUCCACAGGGAAUUGAGGUUGAUCAAGCUAAGGUAGAAGCUAUACAGGGAUGGCCUGUACCGAAGACUAUCACGCAAGUGCGGAGUUUCCUAGGACUUGCUGGUUUCUAUCACCGUUUUGUGAAGGACUUCAGCACCAUUGCUGCACCAUUGAAUGAGCUCACGAAGAAGGGAGUGCCUUUUAGUUGGGGCAAAGUACAAGAAAACUCCUUCAACAUGCUGAAAGAUAAGUUGACACAUGCACCCCUCCUCCAACUCCCUGAUUUUAAUAAGACUUUUGAGCUUGAAUGUGAUGCUAGUGGAAUUGGAUUGGGUGGUGUUUUGUUACAAGAAGGCAAACCUGUUGCAUAUUUUAGUGAAAAAUUGAGCGGGCCUGUUCUGAAUUAUUCUACUUAUGAUAAGGAAUUGUAUGCUCUUGUUCGCACAUUAGAAACAUGGCAGCAUUAUUUGUGGCCCAAAGAAUUUGUUAUUCAUUCUGAUCAUGAAUCUUUGAAACAUAUUCGUAGUCAAGGACAUCUGAACCGUAGACAUGCUAAGUGGGUUGAAUUUAUUGAAUCUUUUCCUUAUUUUAUUAAGCACAAGAAAGGGAAAGAGAAUGUUAUUGCUGAUGCUUUGUCUAGGAGAUAUACUUUGCUGAAUCAACUUGAUUACAAAAUCUUUGGAUUAGAAACAAUUAAAGACCAAUAUGUUAAUGAUGCUGAUUUUAAAGAUGUGUUGCUGCAUGGCAAAGAUGGAAAAGGAUGGAACAAAUUCAUCGUUAGUGAUGGUUUUGUGUUUAGAGCUAACAAGCUAUGCAUUCCAGCUAGCUCCGUUCGUUUGUUAUUGCUACAGGAAGCGCAUGGAGGUGGCUUGAUGGGGCAUUUUGGAGUGAAGAAAACGGAGGACGUCAUUUCUUUUGGCCAAAGAUGAGAAGAGAUGUGCAGAGGUUUGUUGCUCGUUGCACGACUUGCCAAAAGGCUAAGUCACGAUUAAAUCCACACGGUUUGUAUUUGCCUCUACCUGUUCCUAGUGCUCCUUGGGAAGAUAUUUCUAUGGAUUUUGUGUUGGGUUUGCCAAGGACUAGGAAGGGCCGUGAUAGUGUGUUUGUGGUUGUUGAUAGAUUUUCUAAAAUGGCACAUUUCAUACCAUGUCAUAAAACUGAUGAUGCUACCCAUAUUGCUGAUUUGUUCUUUCGAGAAAUUGUUCGUUUGCAUGGUGUGCCCAACACCAUUGUUUCUGAUCGUGAUGCUAAAUUUCUUAGUCAUUUUUGGAAGACUUUAUGGGGAAAACUAGGAACUAAACUUUUAUUUUCUACUACAUGUCAUCCCCAAACUGAUGGUCAAACUGAAGUUGUCAAUAGAACUUUGUCUACUAUGUUACGGGCUAUUUUAAAAAAGAACAUUAAGAUGUGGGAAGAUUGUUUGCCUCACAUUGAAUUUGCUUAUAAUCGUUCGCUGCAUUCUACUACAAAGAUGUGCCCAUUUCAGAUUGUAUAUGGUUUCUUGCCUCGUGCUCCUAUUGAUUUGAUGCCUUUGCCAUCUUCUGAAAAAUUAAAUUUUGAUGCUACUAAGCGUGCUGAAUUGAUGUUAAAACUGCAUGAAACAACUAAAGAAAACAUAGAGCGUAUGAAUGCUAAAUAUAAGUUUGCUGGUGAUAAAGGUAGAAAGGAACUAAUAUUUGAACCUGGUGACUUAGUUUGGUUGCACUUGAGAAAGGAUAGGUUUCCUGAAUUGCGAAAGUCUAAAUUGAUGCCUCGGGCUGAUGGACCCUUUAAAGUCUUGGAGAAAGUUAAUGAUAAUGCAUAUAAGCUCGAUCUGCCUGCCGAUUUUGGGGUUAGUCCCAUAUUUAACAUUACAGAUUUGAAGCCAUAUUUGGGAGAAGAAGAAGAGCUUGAGUCGAGGACGACUCAAAUGCAAGAAGGGGAGGAUGAUGAGGACAUCAACACCAACGAUACAUCCACACCUACACAAGUACCAGUUUCUGGUCCGAUAACUCGCGCCCGUGCUCAUCAACUUAAUCAUCAAGUAAGUUCACUCUUGAGUUCCUGUCCAUCCUAUUUAGACCAUGGAGACGCGUGCACUCUUGUUUUGGUUAGGAAUCAUGGAGAAGACCGAAAGGGAAACGGACUCGCGCAGGCUGGAUUCGGACUCCAGGACAGUACCAACUUGUGAUGGUCACCACGGUCGCAUACGGACACGGAUUGGGGCGUUCAAGUACUUCACGGAUUUGUUAUGAAGUCUAUUUUCAUAUGGAUCUGGACUCAAGUCUAUAUCUGGUCCUAGGCGGUCGCAAUGACCAAUUUACUACCGAUCGGUUUUCUGGUGCUGCGUCACCUUAUUUUGGCCCAAUGGGCCGUGUAUCAAGUUGGGUCCAUUAGGGACAUGUCCUAGGGUUGGAGCACGACCCCAACACCCUCCUGGUCGUCCUCCUAGGCAUUAAUAAGGAUUAGAGCCGCCACAAACAGAUUGGGUUUUGUUUAGAUCAAGUUUAGCUCUCGCUACUUGCCUGUAAGCGCGCGUGCUGGAUCAGCCGCCCGUCUUGCUGUCUUCGGAACCCCACCUUAUUGAGAUUGAGUUGGAAACCUUCAUCUUCAUCUAGUAAAUUCAGUACUUGUUAUACUUGUUCUUGCUAGUUCUUUGAUUGCUUGCAGGACGAGUGCCCUAGUGGCCGGGUGACGCGCUCCACAAGAUCGCGGCAGCCAUUGGAGGUGGUGUAUCGGUUGCUAAGGCGCAGCUUGGAAGGCUGUAGUCGGGCCGUGAACGUCGUCUCCAUCCACCAAUCGAGUUAUCCACGCCUCUCUCAUCGAAAGAUCGGGAAUCAACCCUAGCGGGUUCAUAUCAGUGGGCUUGGGAUAGCGGCGAGAAUGUCCGGCGGUAUUCCGGCGGCAGCAGUGCUUCUUGUGGAUCACAAGCAAGCUCUUGAGCAGCACUGAAAGGAGUGGCUGGUGGAUUGGGGAAAGGUGGUGUUUGAGCAGAGAGGAGAGUUCCUCAGACUUAGGUGGUGGCGCUGUGAGCACGAACAGGGAGUAAGAGAGAGGGCAGCUAGGGCAAAGGGGAACUCCGGCGGGGCUUCGGCAUCCCAUUUUAUAGCGGCGCGGAAGUGAUAAGGGGGAGCGGCGUGAAGGUCGGGGAAGAAACGAUGGAGUGCUCUGCCGGGGCGGCGAUUGAGCGACGAGGGCGGUGGAGUAGGACUUCGGGGAUGACACCGGCGGUCAUUGGGCACUGACAUCAGGGCAGCGCAGGCGCGGGUUUGCCGGUGGUUGAGAUUUGGCGGAGGUGGGCGUCGUCGUGCGGUGGAUCUGAUGGAAGUGAUCGGGAAAAUGGCGCUAGGAACGAGGGCGCACAGGUGAGAAGACAGGCGGUUGCAGUCGCGCGGGCGAGCGCGGAGCACCAGAUUGUCGGGGCGGCUUCUGACAAGGCGGGAAAAGGAGCUGUCGCUGCCGCGGUCUGGGUUGGCGGGGGAGGAAUCGUCGCGUAGCGAGGACCGAGGCGGCGCGACUGUGGAGAGGUGACAGAAAAGAUGGGCGGCAUCGGGCUCUACAGCCGGGAUCUGGUGAUGUGAUGAUGGGCACGGGCGGCGAGGUGCUGCAGAAAGGGUGGCAGAGGAGCUUCUGCCGCAAUUGGGGAAGGGGGCGCGAGAAUCCAUCCGGUCGUGGCCGGCGACGAGGUGGAGCGGCAGGCGUCGGAGGAGUUGAGCCACGCGGCUGGGGAACUCUGAAGCGGGCAUGCAACUCGAGUGCGCCUGUCGCGGGAGAUUUGGGGGAAAGAUCUCGUGGGUCCACCGGUCUGUCUUGGUGGUCCACAGCUCAGAACGAAGGGAGGUGUUGUGGGAGGACUUAGAAAGAUCCAACGGUGGGUUGGGGGUCGGCGGGGUCGGAACUGGGGAAAACACGGCGAGGGGUCGAAUUGAAGGGGUCGGGAGUUCUGGAGGUUGAGCAAACAACCUUGGUAAACUGAGACAGGUGAUCAGGGACUCGGAUUAAGAUUAACGCGAAGGAGUUUUAUCCAAGGCCGUUACAGCCUACCCCCCUUAAGAAGAAUCUCAUCCCAAGAUUCGGAUGUAGAAGUAACCGGUCGGGGUGUGUAGCCUUUACCUCCUUGGCUGGAAAGAAAACUGGGGAAGUGCUUGUUCAAGUACUCUUCUGUUUCCCACGUUGCUUCAUCCUCCGUGUGGUUCCUCCAGAGGAUCUUGUACAUUUUGAUCACUUGGCGUCGGGUAUGCCUCUCUUUCUGGUCAAGGAUCUUGGCCGGAUACUCUGCAUAGGUUAGGUUAGGCUCGAUUUGAAGCUGCUCCUGUUCUAAGAUCUCAGUUGGAACUUGGACACAUUUCUUCAGCUGAGACACGUGGAAAACGUCGUGUAUGGCCGAUAGCUGUUCUGGGAGUUGGAUCCGAUAGGCCACGGGUCCACAAAUUUCCACAACUACAUAUGGGCCAAUGUAACGGGGAGCCAGUUUCCCUUUUACUCCAAACCGUUGCACUCCUUUGGUUGGGGAAACUCGAAGAUACACAUGAUCACCAAUGUCAAACUGUAGGCGCCUUCUUUGCCUGUCGGAUUAACUCUUCUGUCGAGAUUGGGCAGCCUUGAGAUUUCCUUGAAUCACCUUCACUUGUUCUUCGGCUUCUACCACUAAGUCAGGGCCAUAAAUUUGUCUCUCUCCCACUUGGGACCAGUUCAAUGGUGUCCAGCAUCUCCGUCCGUACAAUGCUUCAAACGGUGCCAUCUUCAAACUGGCUUGGUAGCUGUUGUUGUAGGAGAACUCCGCCAAUGGCAGGCACUUGUCCUAGUUUCUAUCAUAGUGGAUGACACAAGCUCUUAACAUGUCUUCAAGGAUCUGAUUGACUCUUUCAGUUUGACCGUCGGUUUGAGGAUGAUAGGUUGAGCUACGGAUGAGUUUGGUGCCCAUGGAUGCUUGUAGCUGUUCCCAAAAGCGUGCUACAAACUGAAUUCCUCGAUCAGAGAUGAUGGUCUUAGGCACACCGUGUAGGGAAACUAUGCGGUCGAGGUACAGCUCUGCAUACUGCUUGACUGUGUGGGUGGUGUGGACAGGAAGGAAGUGGGCGGUCUUGGUCAGACGGUCCACUAUAACCCAAAUGGAAUCAUGUCGCUGCGAUGAAAGAGGCAGUCCAACAAUGAAAUCCAUGCUGACAUCCUCCCAUUUCCAAGAGGGAAUAGGUAGGGGCUGUAAAGUACCUGCUACCUUUAGAUGACUGGCCUUGACAUGUUGGCAGGUGUCACACUCUGAAACGUACCGGGCAAUUUCCUGUUUCAUUCCGCUCCACCAGAAAGUUUGGCGUAGAUCAUGGUACAUCUUGUUGCUGCCUGGGUGGAUGGAGAACUUGGAGAGAUGAGCUUCAUCUAGGAUCUGCUUCCUCAAGUUGGGGUCGGCGGGUACAACCAGUUGGUUUCCAUAAUAUACUUUUCCAGUUUCAUCCUGCCGAAACUACUUAUAUCCUUCAUCUUUCAAGGAAAUCUUCCUGGUGAUCCGCAUUACUUCCUCAUCCUCCACUUGUGCUGACCUUAUUUGGUCUUCUAAAAUAGAGUCAAGGGCGAUGUGGCCGAGGGUUCCAUGGGAAACAAUUUCCAAACUGAGUUUUCCCAUCUCAUGAUACAAGGUUUCGGUGAAGGUUGUUGCCAACAAGUAGUUGCAACAGGGCUUGCGGCUAAGAGCGUCGGCCACCACAUUAGCCUUGCUGGGGUGAUAGUGUACUUCCAAAUCAUAAUCCUUUAUCAACUCUAACCAUCUUCUUUGGCGCAUGUUGAGGUCGGCUUGGGUGAAGAUAUACUUGAGGCUCUUGUGGUCGGUGUAGAUGUUGCAGCGGGUGCCCAUCAGAUAAUGUCUCCAUAUCUUUAAGGCAUGGAUCACUGCUGCCAACUCAAGAUCAUGGGUUGGGUAGUUCAGCUCAUGAGGUCGUAACGCUCGUGAGGCAUAGGCAAUGACUCGGUUGUCUUGCAUAAGAACACACCCAAGUCCAGUGCCAGAGGCGUCACAGUACACGUCAAACAACCUAGAGGGGUCGGGUUGGGCCAAAACUGGGGCUGUGGUCAGCAAGCGCUUCAAGGUUUUGAAGGCUUGUUCACACUUGUCGUUCCACACAAAUCUGACAUCUUUCUUCAACAGCUCUGUCAUUGGCUUAGCUAUCUUGGAGAAGUCCGGUAUGAAACGUCGAUAGUAGCCUGCCAGUCCAAGGAAACUUCGGAUCUGGUGCACUGAGGUAGGAGGCUUCCAGUCCAUAACUUCCUGUACCUUGCUGGGGUCGACGGCUAUGCCAUUCUUAGAGAUAGUAUGUCCCAAGAAUUUGACACUAUCCAACCAGAAUUCACAUUUGGAGAACUUGGCAUAGAGCUGAUGAUCUCUCAGCCGUUGGAGAACUACGCGAAGAUGGUUGGCAUGUUCUUCUUCGCUCUUCGAGUACACCAGGAUAGCAUCAAUGAACACCACUACAAACUUGUCCAACUCGGGCAUGAACACCGAGUUCAUAAGGUACAUGAAGUAUGCGGGUGCAUUGGUGAGCCCAAAAGACAUGACCAGGUACUCGUAGAGUCCAUAUCUUGUGGAGAAGGCAGUCUUAGGGAUGUCACAUGGUCGGAUCUUGAUUUGGUGAUAACCUGAACGAAGAUCGAUUUUGGAGAACACUCUAGCUCCAGCUAACUAAUCAAACAAGACAUCAAUGCGGGGGAGUGGGUACUUGUUCUUGAUAGUCACCGCAUUGAGAGGUCGGUAGUCUACACACAUGCGUAGACUGCCAUCCUUCUUCUUCACAAUCAGGACCGGGCAACCCCAGGGUGAUGCACUGGGUCGGAUGAAACCUUUUUCCAACAGAUCAUGCAACUGGGUCUUUAACUCAGCUAGCUCAGCUGGUGGCAUCCAAUAGGGCCUUUUGGAGAUGGGGGCGGUGCCGGGGAUCAACUCUAUGGCAAACUCCACAUCUCUAUCAGGCGGCAUGCCGGGCAAGUACUCUAGGAACACAUCAGGGUACUCAGAGACAACAGGGAGGCUUUCUAGCCGGGCUUGUGAUAGAGGGUACGCACAGGGGAAUGCGGACUUAGGAGGGUUCAAGAACAGGGUAGAACUGCCAUAAAAGGGUGAGUUGAUGUGGAGGGUUCGAGCGGCUGGGUCUAGAACCACUUGGUGUCUGGUCAUCCAAUCCAUUCCAAGAAUGAUAUCUAUUCCUUCCAGGUCAAGGAGGAUAAGAUUUUCCUUAAAAAGGUUUUGGCCUAGCUGAAUAGGCACAUUGACACUCAUCCUAUCAGAUGUGAUUAUUCCACCCGGGGUGGAUAUUCUAAAAGACCCUCUGGUUUGGCAGUCUUGUAACCCACACUUGUCACGGGUCUUUCGCCCGAUAAAACUAUGUGAAGCUCCCGAGUCAAACAAAACCAAAGCUGAAAAACUAUGAAUCAGAAAGGUACCCGUCAUUAUCGGCGCACCUUCAGGAAGCUCUACUGCGUGGGUGAAGUUCAGUCGACCUUGGCGAACUUGCACCUUGGGCCUCUUUCCUUUGUUGGGCGUUGCAUUGCUCUGCCCUGGGCGCGGGCUCUGAUUUCUGGGGCAAUCCUUGGCGAAAUGCCCCACAUCGCCGCACGCAAAACAGCGGUUACCCGUUGCAGGGCGUGGGGGUGGCGGCAGGGCCUCUGGUUGGAAACCAGGAAAAUGGGGCGCUGCUGCUGGCGGGGGUCGGGCAAUCCACCUUCCUGACUGCUGGGGUCGGCUGGGCGCCUGUGGUGGAACCAUUCUGAAAUGCUGCGCAGGUGGGCUGGGCGUUGGUAGUGGGGCUUUCCUCUUCCUCUCCGCUGCCAGAGCCUUCAUGCAGUCCUCUUGGGAGAUGGCCAGGUUGACCAACUCAUUGUACGUAUCCACCCUUAUCGGGUUUAACCUUUCUCUGAGCUCCAAGCUCAGCCCUCUGCGGAAUCUGUCCCACUUCUUCUCGUCGGUGUCCGCGUGAUAUCCAACAUAACGACACAGAUCGUUGAAGGCUUGUGCGUAGUGUAACACAUCUCGGUUUCCUUGGUGAAGAGCCAGGAAUUCAUUGAGCUUGCGCUCCAGGAGACCCUUCGGAAUGUGGUGCGCUCUGAACGCAGUCUUGAACUCGUUCCAGCUGAUGACAUGGUCUGCUGGCAACAUGGCGUGGUAGUGAUCCCACCAUAGCCGAGCGGAACCACGUAACUGCUAGGCUGCAAACCGAGCCUUAUUGUGAUCGGGGCACUGGGCGGUGAGAAGCUCGAACUUGGAUUCGAUGGUGCGAACCUAGGCGUCUACAUUGAGCGGGUCUUGGGUCUUCUGGAACAAUGGGGGCUGCGUCCCCAAAAAGUCUUCAUAACGAGCAACAUGAGGUUGCUGCUGAGCCCUUCCACCAUGGGGUUGCUGCUGUUGUUGCCCUUGUACCAGAUGUCUCAGCAGCUCGGUCUGAGCCGCUAAGAUUGCCUCUAGUGGAGACGGGGGUGGAGGUGGGGGAAGAUCCUGUCUUUGCUCGCUGCUGCCGGGCACAGAGCCAGAUCUGGUGCGAUGCGCCAUCUGCAAGAGUUAACGUUCCAUUAAAUUCAUAAUCUUAGAAUUGAGUGACUUGGCAUAGUUAAUCUAAAGAAGAGCUUUUCCGAGCAAGGUUGCUUUUGAGGAGGGUGACUUGGCAGAUUUUUAGCUUAUGUCGCAUGCACGGCCUACCUCGUUCUUAACCAAAACAACUGCCAAAACUUGGUCUUACGCGGUUAGUGCCGGUGGCAAGACAACCAGUACGUCUCUCCUUAUAAUAACUAGUCAGUUCUAGCAACGUCUCCUAAGCGAACGCGGUUAGUGUACCUGCAGAAAACACGACCACAUGAACCUUUCAUGCCAGCACCCACGAAAGCGUUCCCAAACAUUACCGUUCACUAUAGGAAUGGCACCCAUGCGUUCAAGGCUGCAUGGACAGUACUCAACCGUGGAAAUAGGUCCCCUUUGAAUGGAACCGUAUAACCCUUCGCAUACUCGUGAUGCGGAUUCAGCGCACGUAUAAUAGACGUGGCGAACAACCGUGAUGAUAGGCUCGUUGGAAUCGAACCGCACCAAACAUAUAGAACCUGCGCACGUAUGACAAACGUGGGUGAAACAACCGCGAUGAUAGGGUCCUUUGAAUAGAACUCCCUAUAAUCCCUCGCAUACUCGUGAUGCGGAACUCGGCACACGUAUGAUAAACGUGGCGAAGUGCUGGAAGGGUUAGCAAGAUAACCAAUUAAAUAUUAGCCACCUAAAAACAACCCCAAAAUCCCCUAGGGCCUCUCGUACUAAAGUCAUCCUUAACGAUCGUACGAGAUAUUUUUCAAAGAGUUUCUUGCAACUUUUAUCUUUUAAAGAGGUGUGUAAGGGCCUAUUAUGUUCUCUGUCUUGCUAAACCGGCUCUGGUACCAGCUGUGGCGGAUCCACUUCAGAUUUUCUUGAUUAGUCAUGAUUAAGCCGCCUGAUAUGCGACUCUCAUGCCUUAACCAAGUAAACACGAAGUGCCGUCGGAUUUCAUCCGAUUUAACCACUUGAACAGGACCGAAUAGCAAACUCACAUGUAGGUGAGCGGUUCCAAAGAAAACAAAAAGUCCACUGAGUUAACAAAUUAACCGUUUGGUUUGGCCAUAAAACAACAUCAGAGUUUACAAGGUUCAGAAGAAAAACAACAGAGGUAAAACAACGCACGGAAGCUACUUCGUCGGGGUCGGACAUCCCUGGUGAGGCCAACCGGGACGUCAGCGGUCCCUCUCCUCGCUGUUCGAGGAGGGAUCCCACUCAACCGUCCAACCCGGAGGGAGUUAGGGCGGCCAAGUGCCAACAGAGGCCGCAACUUCACCUGAAAAAGAAGAGCCGCAACAAGGCUGAGCUACUAAGCUCAACAAGACUUAACCGACAGGGAGUACGCUACUCCACCACUUCUAAACAUGCAAGGCCUUUUUGGCUGAGGGGUUUGUUUGCCAAAAGCGCUAGGUAUAUCCCUACUUUCAAGUUUUAGCUCAGGUUCUAAGUUCAUUAUCCGGUCUAAGUUUGCAACCUACUCUAAACAAACAUAGAACCAACCAAAGGUAUAUACAUCAUCAUCAAGACCAUGUCAUCAUCAGAUUCCUUUAAUUACUCAGGGUGACAUAGCGAUCAAGCAGUCUCAAACUGUGAGAGGCAGACGAAUCAAUUCGAGUUUCUUAACCAUGCAUGGCGAACCUAAUCUCACGACAUCCGCGCACCACAAGGGUCGCUUCCUGUGUCGGCCGUCCCCAUCAAUUCCUAGGCGCGUGUCAGGUCCAAACUUCCCUUGGCAUGCAAUGCUCCACAGUCCUGGUCUCUACCGUAAUGUGACCGCACUUGCACCCACAUGAUGCACCAUGGGAACCUCGUUCCAGGAACAGCAGGGGUAUAAGCCACGCCCUAGUUCAAUCAGGUACUAGGCUUCCCCAUCCCAUACUAGGUAUGAGAUUAGUACUUUCAAACACUUGAUCACGAACACCACCACUGUCGGGCCUUAGCAAGUUUCAUAGACAGACGGGGCGAUCAACCGACCACCAAAGAGUUACCCAAAACCCUGCCCCAUCCAUCGUCCUUAUAGUUGCAACAGAAGAGGAAACAACCAACUCCUACAACUCGUGAGUGACAGGGAAUCACUCGGCUUUUACCGUUUCCUAGUUAAGCAAGGCAUCUACUCGGUCCAACAGCUAGUGAUCAUAUCAAGGGGUCUAAGUCAUGCAUCUUGUUAGGAUACGAGGUAGGCUACGCUAGCGCAAAUCAAAAAUACUACCGCGUAUAACCAGGAAGAACUGCCGUAUAAGGAUCACGGGAUUACCACUCGACGCACUACUCGUGCGGAAGAUGUAGAUAUGCGUCGAUGCAGUGAAGACGAUCACGUAGUCGUACGUAGUCGAUCAACGUAGUCGUAUGUAGUCGAUCACGUCAAUGUUCAGCAGCUCGUCCACGUGCAACAAGAUCGCCUCCGGUGCCGCGGCUCGUCGUCGGCUUGUCGUGGCUCGUCGGCGGCUCGUCGACGGCUCGUCCAAGUGCUGCAGGCGCAACACCUCCAAGGUAUCCACACGUGCAGGAAGGAAGCGUCGCAAGCCGGACUGCUAGAUCCGCGAGUUGCAACAGGCGAGGGCGUGGGAGGCGCGGCAGGUGUGUUUCGCCAAAAGGUGUAAACCCUAGGGCGCCUCCACCCCUCUAUUUAUAGAGGUUCCUGACGGGCCUCUGGGUCCGAGGCCCAUUAGUACUUGUAAACCUAGAUCCGAAUUGGGCUUCCAGCCCCUUAAGUGUGUGACCCUAUGGGUUCGGAUACGUAUAGACAUGGCCCGAGUACUCCUACUCGGCCCAAUAGUCGGUAGCGGCCUCUAGCAAGACGUGCCAACUCCUAUACGCACACGAAGAUCAUAUCAGAUGAACCAUCACAACAUAAUAUACAUGCUAUUCCCUUCGCCUCACGAUAUUUGGUCUAGCUUCAAGCCGACCGCUCUUUCUCGAUCCAGUGAUUCGGAAUCCCUUUGUAGGUUAACUCUUAACCGUACGUAGCAUGGCCAUGCAUUUUCGGAUUCGAUCACUCGAGGGGCCCAGAGAUAUCACUCCCAAUCAGAGAGGGGCAAAUCCCAUCUUGAUUUGACUAUGUCUCAUAGCAUGCUUCUUGACAAACCCGAAAGCUACCUUUAUAACUACCCUGUUACGGCGUAGCGUUUGAUAGCCCCUAAGUAGGUCGAUCCACAUCUAGAAUACAUGCGACAAUCUCAGGUCUAAGGACAAAGCGUAUAUGUUGUUUAAAGACAGAACUACUUCUCGUGUUGGGUCAGUCCUAGCACAUGUCUCCACAUGUGUCCACAUUAUUAGUUGAACAUCUCCAUGUCCAUGACUUGUGAAACAUAGUCAUCAACUAAUACAUGUGCUAGUCUAAUAUUCAUGUGUGUCCUCACAUGAACUCCGACUAGGGACAACUUUAGAAUAACCAUACAAGUAAAGAGUUUCACAUACAAUUCACAUAAUUGCAAAUCAAUUCAAGUAGCCUUUAAUGGAUAUUCAAUGAACACAGUAUACAAAUCAUGGAUACAAAUGGAAUAUCAUCAUCUCUAUGAUUGCCUCUAGGGCAUACCUCCAACAGUCUCCCACUUGCACUAGAGUCAAUCUAGAAGGUACCUAAUACCCAUAGCUCUUACAUGCGCAUCAUGCUUAGCCUGCGGGAGUGGUUUUGUCAACGGAUCAGAAAUGUUCAGAUCCGUGUGUAUUUUGCAUAUCUUUAUCUCACCCCGGUUAACGAAGUCUUGAAUGAGAUGAAAUCGCCGCAUUACGUGUUUGUUCUUCUGGUGGUUCCUUGGCUCCUUUGCUUGCGCAAUUGCCCCAUUAUUAUCACAGUAGAGAUUCAAUGGGCUGGACGCAUUCGGGAACACACCAAGUUCAAUGAGGAAAUUCCUUAUCCAAACACAUUCCUUCGCAGCUUCCGAAGCCGCGAUGUACUCGGCUUCUGUCAUGGAAUCGGCCACCGUCUCCUGCUUGGAACUCUUCCAACUAACAGCACCACCAUUCAGUGUGAACACAAAAUCCUGAUUGUGACUUUGAAUCAUCUCUGUCGGUUUGGAAACUAGCAUCGGUGUAACCUGUUACAACGAGCUCCUCCUCUCCUCCAUAGACGAGGAACAUAUCUUUAGUCCUUCUCAAGUACUUAAGAAUGUUUUUCACCGCUGUCCAGUGACUCUCACCUGGAUCAGAUUGGUGUCUGCUUGUCAUACUUAGCGCAUAUGAAACAUCUGGGCGAGUACUUAUCAUUGCAUACAUGAUAGAUCCAAUAGCCGAGGCAUAUGGCACUCUACUCAUGCGAUCCCGCUCAUCAGCAGUCGAAGGACACUGAGUCUUGCUGAGAUGUAUGCCAUGUGACAUAGGCAAGAACCCUUUCUUUGCCUCUUCCAUGCUGAACCGCUUCAACACUUUGUCAAUGUAAGUAUCUUGGCUUAAACCUAUAAGCCUUCUCGAUCUAUCUCUAUAGAUCUUAAUGCCCAGAAUAUAUGCCGCUUCCCCUAAGUCCUUCAUCGAAAAACUAUUUUUCAGUGAAGUCUUUACAGACUCAAGCAUAGGAAUGUUAUUUCCAAUCAGUAAUAUGUCAUCCACAUAUAAGAUUAGAAAUACUACAGAGCUCCCACUAACCUUCUUGUAAACACAAGACUCUUCUUCAUUCUUGGUGAAGUCAAACCCUUUGACCACUUCAUCAAAACGAAUGUUCCAACUCCUAGAUGCUUGCUUCAAUCCAUAAAUGGAUCUCUGAAGCUUGCAUACCUUUCUAGCAUUUUUCGGAUCGACAAAACCCUCGGGUUGUAUCAUAUACACGUCCUCAGCUAGGUUUCCAAUCAGGAAAGCUGUCUUGACAUCCAUCUGUCAUAUCUCAUAAUCAAAAUAUGCAGCUAUAGCUAGAAUAAUCCGAAUGGACUUAAGCAUCACUACGGGCGAGAAGGUCUCGUCGUAGUCAACUCCUAAACUUGUCGAAAACCUUUUGCGACAAGUCGUGCUUUAUAGAUGUGAACAUUUCCAUCCAUGUCCUUUUUCUUCUUAUAGAUCCACUUGCACUCUAUGGCUUUAACACCAUCAGGCGGGUCAACCAAGAUCCAAACUUGAUUGUCUCCCAUGGACUCUAUUUCGGAUUGCAUGGCACUCUGCCAUUUUUCGGAGUCUGGGUCCAUCAUUGCUUCUGCAUAUGUCGCAGGCUCAUCAUUGUCCAACAAUAAUAUUUCCCGCAUUUCGCGGAGCCUUGCCGACCUUCGUGGUUGUGGCGGUGCUUCUCUUGCCAUGGGUAUCUCAACUUGUUCUGCUACGUUAGCAUCACUCAUUGAUUUUUGCCCGAUCGGCUCAUCUUGAACUUAUUCAAGAUGCACUGUCUUUCCACUCUUUUCUCCUUUGAGAAACUCUUUCUCUAGGAAAACCCCGUUCCGAGCGACAAACACUUUGCCUUCUGAUCGGUUGUAGAAAUAAUAUCCCAAAGUUUCCUUUGGAUAUCCCACGAAAAUGCACUUAUCCGACUUGGGUGUGAUCUUGUCCGACUGAAGUCGCUUGACAAAGACUUCACAUCCCCAAAUCUUUAGAAAAGACAAACUAGGAACCUUUCCAGUCCAUAUCUCAUAUGGUGUCUUAACUACGGAUUUAGAUGGUACCCUAUUAAGUGUGAAAGCUGCUGUUUCUAGAGCGUAUCCCCAAAAUGACAACGGUAGGUCCGACUGGCUCAUCAUUGAUCGAACCAUGUCUAACAAAGUUCGAUUACAUCGCUCGGACACACCAUUUCUCUAAGGUGUUCCAGGCGGCGUAAGUUGUGGAACAAUUCCGCAACUCUUUAGAUGAUUGCUAAACUCGUGGCUCAAAUACUCGCCUCCACGAUCAGAUUGUAAGGCCUUAAUUUUCUUGCCACGCUGAUUUUCAACUUCAUUCUGAAAUUCCUUGAACUUUUCAAAGGUUUCAGACUUGUGCCUCAUCAAGUAGACAUAGCCAUAUCUACUAAAAUCAUCAGUGAAAGUUAUGAAGUAUUGGAAUCCUCCUCUAGCCGUCGUGCUCAUUGGUCCGCAUACAUCACUAUGUACGAGUUCCAACAAGUCUACUGCUCUCUCAGGAAAUCCUGUGAAAGGCGUCUUGGUCAUCUUGCCUAGCAAGCAAGCCUCACAUGUCUCGUAUGAUUCAAAAUCAAACGAAGUUAGAAGUCCAUCAGAAUGGAGCUUCUUCAUGCGCUUUUCACUUAUAUGACCCAAACGACAAUGCCACAAGUAGGUAGGACUCAAAUCAUUAGGCUCAGACCUUUUAGCACUUACAUUACAGACAGGUGAACCAUCAAGAUUUAAAACAAAUAAUCCAUUCACAAUGGGUGCAAAAGCCAUAAACAUAUUAUUCUUAGAGAUCACACAACCAUUGUUUUCACUCGCAAAUGAAUAACUAUCCUUCAUCAAGCAUGAAGGAGACAAAAUGUUUCGACUUAAACUAGGAACAAAAUAACAAUUAUUCAACUCCAUAAUAAAUCCUGACGGGAGGUGGAGUUGCAUCGUCCCGACGGUCAACGCAGCAACUCUUGCAUUAUUGCCCACGCGGAAAUCAACUUCUCCUCUUUCCACGCUUCUACUUCUUAUCAUUCCCUGCAUCGAAUUGCAAAUAUGAGCAACCGAUCCGGUAUCAAAUACCCAAGAAUUAAUAAUUGUAUCAGCGAGAAAUAUGUUGUCUAUAACAUUAACAACAAGCGUACCUGAGGUACAAGUUCUCUUACUUCCGCCAUUCUUCAAGGAAGCUAGGUACUGCUUGCAGUUUCUCUUCCAGUGACCAAGUUCAUGACAGUAAAAGCACUCUUUAUCUGGAGCAGGUCCAGGUCCAGCUUUAACCUGGGUGCUGGGUUUGGCUUGGACGUUCCAGCCUUGCCCUUCUUCUUAAAGCUAGGCUUGUUCUGUAUAGCCAUCACAUGGCUGGUACUAGCGCUUUUCUUGAUGUCAGCCUCUGCUGUUUUAAGCAUGCCACAUAGCUCAUUCAGACCCUUCUCCGUCCCAUGCAUAUGGUAGUUCGAGAUGAAGUUCCCAUAGCUAGGCGGAAGAGACGAAAGAAUGAAAUCAGUGGCCAACUCUUGGCCCAGUGGGAAGCCUAGCUUCUCCAACCGUUGAGUGUAACCAACCAUCUUGAUUACUUGUGGUCCUACUGCUGCACCUUCUGCUAGCUUGCUCUCAACAAAGGCCUUAGACACAUUGAACCUUUCAGUCCUGGCCUGUGUUUGGAACAUGUCUCUAAGCGCCAUGAUCAUAUCGUGCACCUCAUGGUUUGUUUCGAACUGCAUCUGCAGCUCGGGUUCCAUGCAAGCAAGCAUAAGGCAGCUUACUUCGAGGUUAGCAUCACAUGCUUUCUUGUAAGCAUUCUUAGCAGCAGCGGGUGCAUCAUCAGCGGGUUCUUCUAGUAGUGGGUUCUUUUUUCUCAGCCCUGAGAACAAUUCUCAGGUUACGGAUCCAAUCCGAGUAAUUUGUUCCAUUCAACUUGUCCUUGUCAAGGACCGAACACAAAGCAAACGGUGUAGUGCUGCUAGGUGCCAUUUAAUCUACAACAAAGUAAUGCAAAAUACACUAAGACAAACAUAUCCAUGAUAGAGUAAAUCACAUUAAACUAGUUUAACAGAAUCUACUCCCACUAAAAUCAAUAUCCCUCUAUUGAAACUUAGUGAUUCAGGAUCCACAACUAACAAGUCCACUAGUGAGCUUUAGCAUCACCGCUAGCAAACAAGGUAGAUCGGUAAGCAACUUCUGCUAAUCAUAUCACAUAUGACUCCUGUUGUUGGGUGACAUCUCCAUGUCUCGGCGCCCAACCUUUAUGCCCCAAGGUCCUUAACCGUUAAGAUAACCUUGUUAAGCAAACCAACCCUUAUGCGUGUAAGUGUCCGACACAAACCCGUCUAGUCAAGGAAAACUAGUGGCACCCUAAUUUCAUAGACCCACCACUAAUUGUACAAGACAUGGGACGGUGCAAGUUUUAGUUGGGAGGGCAUACUAACUUAAACUUUGUGAGGGAUCGUUCUACUUCUAACAUCACAGCAUGCAGAAAGUAAAACAUAAACAGAAUAGCAUUCACACAGUUGUGACACAGUAUGGCCCGUUUUUCUUAUGGUGAUCUCCAUCUCCAUAGAAGCUGUUCACCAUGGUGAUCUCCAUCUCCAUGUUCCAUGUGCGCCAUCCUUCUGGUGAUGAGUCCUCCAAGAACUUAGAACAUGCUAUUACACCUAAUAGCUAGUAAAGAAGCUAGUAAUGAAGAUUACAUAGUUGCUUGGAUCAUCACAGAUUGGUACGCAGACCAUUAAAUACAAUAAAGUGACAACACAUAUGGCUCCUGCCGUGUUGCCGUACGCGCGACACGCAGGUCACGAAUGAGUUACACACAUGCAUCACAUACACAAGGGGGCCAUACUGAUCACAAGAUACAUACAUACAUCCUGCAAAACAGAGUUAGGCGCCCUAACGUUCCAAACUUCGGAUGCCCGAAACUCCAUCUUCCAAGCCGAAUUUGGGAAUUCUAAUCUCGCCAAAAACGGCAAAGCCCUUGAAUUUCAUGUGUAACUUUUUUUGUAGAUCAAUUUUCAUAUAAAAUUCGUCCCGAUCCGAGAUCGUACCGAAAAGUUACGGCUGAUUUACCGAAGCAUAUGCAUAUGGCAAAAAUCCCGACCCCGGCAGUAGAUCUCAUCUACUAUUGCACAUCUAAUGCGCCUGACGUAUGACCCUGAAUUUUGAUUCGACCAAUCAUAUUGAUCUUCGCUCACUGCAACUGGAUUUACGUGUAUCACUUAACUCCGAUGGCGGAAACCGACCGGUAGGAGUAUGUCAUUACACUACCAUUGCAGCAAGGGCACGAAAACAGGACAUAAAUCAAACGGAAAACUCGCAUAUCUCCAUAUGCACACAUCCCGAAUCCAAAACUAAUGCAGCUACGGCUCUGAUACCACUGUUGGGAUACGAGGUAGGCUACGCUAGCGCAAAUCAAAACUUCUACCGCGAAUAACCAGGAAGAACUGCCGUAUAAGGAUCACGGGAUUACCACUCGACGCACUACUGGUGCGGAAGAUGUAGAUAUGCGUCGAUGCAGUAAAGACGAUCACGUAGUCGUACGUAAUCGAUCAACGUAGUCGUACGUAGUCGAUCAACGUAGUCGUACGUAGUCGAUAACGUCAACGUUCAGCAGCUCCUCAGCAGCUCGUCCACGUGCAGCAAGAUCGCCUCCGGUGCCGCGGCUCGUCGUCCGCUCGUCGUGGCUCGUUGGCGGCUCGUUGACGGCUCAUCCAAGUGCUGCAGGCGCAACACCUCCAAGGUAUCCACACGUGCAGGGAGGAAGCGUCGCAAGCCGGACUGCUAGAUCCGCGAGUUGCAACAGGCGAGGGCGUGGGAGGCGCGGCAGGUGUGUUUCGCCAAAAGGUGUAAAGCCUAGGGCGCCUCCACCCCUCUAUUUAUAGAGGUUCCUGACGGGCCUCUGGGUCCGAGGCCCAUUAGUACUUCUAAACCUAAUCCAACUCGAAUCAGAUCCGAAUUGGGCUUCCAGCCCCUUAAGUGUGUGACCCUAUGGGUUCGGAUACGUAUAGACAUGGCCCGAGUACUCCUACUCGACCCAAUAGUUGGUAGCGGCCUCUAGCAAGACGUGCCAACUCCUAUAUGCACACGAAGAUCAUAUCAGACGAACCAUCACAACAUAAUAUACAUGCUAUUCCCUUCGCCUCACAAUAUUUGGUCUAGCUUCAAGCCGACCGCUCUUUCUCGAUCCUGUGAUUCGGAAUCCCUUUGUAGGUUAACUCUUAACCGUACGUAGCAUGGCCAUGCAUUUUCGGAUCCGAUCACUCGAGGGGCCCAGAGAUAUCACUCCCAAUCAGAGAGGGGCAAAUCCCAUCUUGAUUUGACUAUGUCUCAUAGCAUGCUUCUUGACAAACCCGAAAGCUACCUUUAUAACUACCCUGUUACGGCGUAGCGUUUGAUAGCCCAUAAGUAGGUCAAUCCACAUCUAGAAUACAUGCGACAAUCUCAGGUCUAAGGACAAAGCGUAUAUGUUGUUUAAAGAGAGAACUACUUCUCGUGUUGGGUCAGUCCUAGCACAUGUCUCCACAUGUGUCCACAUUAUUAGUUCAACAUCUCCAUGUCCAUGACUUGUGAAACAUAGUCAUCAACUAAUACAUGUGCUAGUCUAAUAUUCAUGUGUGUCCUCACAUGAACUCCGACUAGGGAUAACUUUAGAAUAACCAUACAAGUAAAGAGUUUCACAUACAAUUCACAUAAUUGCAAAUCAAUUCAAGUAGCCUUUAAUGGAUAUUCAAUGAACACAAUAUAUAAAUCAUGGAUACAAAUGGAAUAUCAUCAUCUCUAUGAUUGCCUCUAGGGCAUACCUCCAACACAUCUAUGGUUUCAAACAACUCCUAUACGUAAAUGCACAAGCAUGCUUAAAGAAGGCAUGCGCAAGUUUGGUAAAACACAGGGGAUUUAUGCAUCCGGGGCUUGCCUUCGAACAAGGAGGAGCGAAGCUGCUCUUCUGCUUGGGCGGCUUCGGCUUCUAGAGGCAGGAGCUUGGCUACACCUUCGUCUUCUGGCGCCGGGUGCAGCUCGUAGAAGCCGUCGGCGAGACGUAGCUCUACACGAAUGCAAUGCAUUGGUUAGCAUUUAGAUGGUUAUUUCAACAGCAACACUUGCAAGUUUGAGCCCAGAAACUUGCGGCAAGUUACAGGAGGGUGGGGAGGUUUGCUUGAGUUGGUGGAGAUUUAGAUAUAAGGGUCGGAUGGGAAGGAACUUAUGAUCUGACCCUUAAUCUAGAGGAAUAGAUGUGCUAGGGGUCCUCAGACUUAACGCUAAAGAGUCCCCAAGUUUUACACAUACACCCUCGGUUCAAAGAAAAAGAUACAGUCGAGCCCUCGGGCGAGGCGGAGAAAGGUCGGCGGAACAGAUAGGGUCAGGCGAGACGGAACCGGGGUCGGGCGGAUAGGAAGGGUCAGACGAGGCGAACAAGGGUCGGUAGCUUACCUUCAUCUUAUAGAUGAGGCUUGGGGUCGGGAAAGAACAGGCUUGGGCGGAAAGACUAAGGCUUGGGACAGCGGCGAGGAUGUCCGGUGGUACUCCGGCGGCGGCGGUGCUUCUUGUGGACCACAAGCAAGCUCUCGUGCAGCACGAGGAGCAGUGGCUGGUGGAUUAGGGAAGGUGGUGUUUGAGCGGAGAGGAGAGUUCCUCAGACUUAGGUGGUGGCGCUGUGAGCACGAACAGGGAGCAAGCGGGAGGGCAGCGAUGGCGAAGGGGAACUCUGGCAGGGCUCCGACAUUCCCUUUUUUAGCUGCGCGGAAGAGAGAAGGGGGAGCGGCGCAAGGACCGGGGAAGAAAAGAGGGAGUGCGCUGCCAGGGUGGCGAUUGAGCGACGAGGGCGGUGGAGCAGGACUUCGGGGAUGACACCGGCGGUCAUUGGGCACCGAUGACAGGGCGACGCAGGCGCGGGUUUGCCGGUGGUUGAGACUUGGUGGAGGCGGGUAUCGUUGUGCGGUGGAUCUGAUGGAAGUGACCGGGGAAACGGCGCUAGAAACGAGGGUGCACAGGUGAGAAGACAGGCGGCUGUGGUCGCGCGGCCGAGCGCGGAGCAACAGAUUGUCGGGGCGGAGCUUCUGACAAGGCAGAAAAGGAGCUGUCGCUGCCAUGGUCUGGGUUGGCGGAGGUGGAAUCCUCGCGUAGCGAGGACCGGGGCGGCGCGACUGUGGAGGGGCGACGGAAAAGAUGGGCGGCAUCGGGCUCUGCAGCCGGUAUCUGGCGAUGCGAUGAUGGGCGCGGGCGGUGAGGUGCUGCAGAAAGGGUAGCAGAGGAGCUUCCGCUGCGAUUGGGGAAGGGGGCGCGAGAAUCCAUCCGGUCGUGGCCGGCGAGGAGGUGGAGCGGCGAGCGUCAGAGGAGUUGAGCCACGCGGCUAGGGAACUCUGAAGCGGGCAUGCAACUCGAGUGCGCCUGUCAUGGGAUAUCUGGGAGAAAAGAUCUCGUGGGUCCACCGUGUUGGAGGUAUGCACUAGAGGAGAUCAUAGAGAUGAUGAUAUUCCAUUUGUAUCCAUGAUUUAUGUUGUGUUCCAUGAAUAUCCAUUAAAGGCUACUUGAAUUGAUUUGCAAAUUAUGUGAAUUAUGUGUGAAACUCUUUACUUGUAUGGUUAUUCUAAAGUUGUCCCUAGUCGGAGUUCAUGUGAGGACACACAUGAAUAUUAGACUAGCACAUGUAUUAGUUGAUGACUAUGUUUCACAAGUCAUGGACAUGGAGAUGUUGAACUAAUAAUGUGGAGACAUGUGCUAGGACUGACCCAACACGAAAAGUAGUUCUCUCUUUAAACAACAUAUACGCUUUGUCCUUAGACCUGAGAUUGUCGCAUGUAUUCUAGAUGUGGAUCGACCUACUUAGGGGCUAUCAAACGCUACGCCGUAACAGGGUAGUUAUAAAGAUAGCUUUCGGGUUUGUCAAGAACCAUGCUAUGAGACAUGGUCAAUCAAGAUAGGAUUUGCCCCUCUCUGAUUGAGAGUGAUAUCUCUAGGCCCCUCGAGUGAUCGGAUCCAAAAAUGCAUGGCCAUGCUACGUACGGUUAAGAGUUAACCUACAAAGGGAUUCCGAAUCACAGGAUCGAGAAAGAGUGGUCGGCUUGAAGCUAGACCAAAUAUCGUGAGGCAAAGGGAAUAGCAUGUAUAUUAUGUUGUGAUGGUUCGUCUGAUAUGAUCUUCGUGUGUGUAUAGGAGUUGGCACGUCUUGCUAGAGGCCGCUACCGACUAUUGGGCCGAGUAGGAGUACUCGGGCCAUGUCUAUACGUAUCCGAACCCAUAGGGUCACACACUUAAGGGGCUGGAAGCCCAAUUCGGAUCUGAUCCGAGUUGGAUUAGGUUUAGAAGUACUAAUGGGCCUCGGACCCAGAGGCCCUAGGGUUUACACCUUUUUGGUGAAACUCAUCUGCUGCGCCUCCCACGCCCUCGCCUGUUGCAACUCACGGAUCUAGUAGUCCGGCUUGCAACGCUUCCUCCCUGCACGUGUGAAUACCUUGGAGGUGUUGCGCCUGCAGCACUUGGACGAGCCGCCGACGAGCCACGACGAGCCGCCGACGAGCCACGACGAGCUGACGAUGAGCCGCGGCACGAGGGAGAUCUUGCUACACAUGGACGAGCUGCUGAGGAGUUGCUGGAUGUCGACGUGAUUGACUAUGUACGACUACGUUGAUCAACUUCGCUGCAUCGACGUGAAUCUACAUCUUCCGCACCAGUAGUGCGUCGAGUGGUAAUCCCAUGAUCCUUAUACGGCAGUUUUCCUGGUUUACACGGUAGAAUUUUUUUAAUUUGCGCUAGUGUAGCCUACCUCAUAUCCCAACACACCGGUCAGUCUCGGUGGUCCACGGCUCAGAUUGAAGGGAGGCAGUUUGGGAGGACUUAAGAAAGAUCCGGCAGUGGGUUGGGGUCGGCGGGGUCGGAACUGGGGAAAACACGGCGAGGGGUCGGAUCACAGGGGUCGGGACCGAACUGGAGGUUGAACACUUAGACUUGGUAAACUGAGAUAGGGGAUCAGGGACUCGGAUUAAGAUUAACGCGAAGGAUUUUAACCGAGGUCAUUACAGGUAGGGCGGCCACAGGCGACGGGCGAUGGGGGCGGGGCAGCGACAGGCAGGUAGGCGACGGGCGACGGGGACAGGGCGGCGAUGAGCGACGGGGGCGGGACGGCGAUGGGCGACGGGGCGGGGCGGCGACGGGCGGCACGGUGACGGGCGACAAGCGGCGGGACGGCCACGGGUGAUGGGCGGCACGACGACAGGGGCGGGGCAGCGACAGGCAGCACGGUGAGGCGGCGACGGGCGGCGGGGAGGCGGCGAGCGACAGGUGACGGGGGUGGGGAAAUAGUCACGAGUGGGAACUCGGGAGGAAUAGAACGAAAUGUUUUUUGUGUAACAAGUGGCAUUGGUGGGUAAUUACCCACCAACUCCACGAGGAGGUUCAAAAGAGGUUGUUUUGGAGUAGCAAAAGA
This 39653-nucleotide long non-coding RNA is filed under the name Setaria viridis. RNAcentral's name for it is "long non-coding RNA (SVIR_LNC003238)". Lineage: Eukaryota; Viridiplantae; Streptophyta; Magnoliopsida; Poales; Poaceae. The record is from RNAcentral.